Long non-coding RNA from Bombus huntii, 3635 nucleotides. RefSeq lists it as uncharacterized. Lineage: Eukaryota; Metazoa; Arthropoda; Insecta; Hymenoptera; Apidae. The record is from RefSeq and is a predicted model, not a curated record. The transcript has 2 exons.
GCCGUCGGCACCGUCGUGGAUGGUAGAGGCGGCGGCGGCCACGAUGGCUGCCUCGGCAUCGGUGUCGGUGUCGGUAUCCGUACCGUACCUCGCGCCCCUCUUCUUUCUUUUACCGGGAGCCGGCAGUAACACGGAGUCCGGAUUCCCCGCGGGCGCGUCCCCCCGCCGUGUGCGACGUCCCGCGCCUCUGCAACCGUUGUGGCGGAGGCGGUGCUUUCUAUGGACUCAGUAAUCCUGCGGUACGACCGCUUGCCAAGCGUGCCCGCAACGGUCGAAUAGGAAGAGCAUGACGACAUUUCGUCGUCGGAUCUCACCCCCCCCCCCCUUCGCGACCGCGGCGUCGCCGCAUCCCAUCUCGCGAGGGUCCCAGGCCGACGGUCAUAACGUCGGGUUCCUCCAACCCUCUCCGAGACACCCCAGUUCGAGUGUCCACUUCGCCAGACGCAUGAGCGUGUCCGGGGGCCUGGCGUCCCAGCCCCGGGCGGCCACGGUUGCUCCAUGACGACGCAGCGGGGCCCGCUUUACAACCCGCGGCUGCGCCGGUACUGGGGUGUCCCUCCCCUGCACCGUAAACGAUUUUUUGAUUCGUUUUUCUGUCCAUUGUGAUUCUGAAGUCGCCGAGGUCGUCAACAAGGAUUUCCAUCCUGGUGCCACUCACUCUUUCACACCCUGUCCCGGUCAAGGCUGGUGCAGGGUGAUGGGGAGCCCCACGAAAAGGUGAGGUGAGUGGUCUUGGCAGAUACGGGCCCACCAACUUCUCCGAGGUUCUCCGCACCGGAUUGGCAAACUGGCGGUGGCCGAAAACGCCAACCAGUCACCAUCCGGUUAUAGGAGAAUUUCAGAUUCAUCGGGGUUUCCCAGGGCUUGGUCCUACGCCCUGAGAACCCGUAGCCGCCUCGUGCCCCCCUUAAAAGCUAUUCUAUCCGUCAUUUAUCUUUUUAAAGCCUACUUUCACAAUUUAUGGUCGAUGGUCGAAUAAACAAGACACACAUAUCUCCUAAAUGUAUCUUUAUUUAUUCUUUAGUCUCCUAGAAUCCAAACAAAUCCAUUCUUUUGCCAUCCAAAAAAUUAUAUUGCCUUACGUAUUACUUAUUAUCAUUUUAUACUCUCUUUCCCUUCUUUUCUUACUUCUUUGAACUUUCACCCAUCUAACGUCUACAAUGUUUUUACAUAUUUUACAAUUUUCUAACAAAAUUAACCCAUGUUUUGACAAAUUCCCAUGCUGAAUCAACAUCGCUAUUACCUUCCCUGCUCCACCUUUCACACACCCAAGCUAAAAACGCGUUUAUUUUAUUUACGCAUCUUUUUUACACACCUCGUCUUUUCACCCUAUAUUUUUACGCUCUUAUUAUUACCUGCUUCAAGGAAAACGUUUCACAUUUCCAAACGCUUUUUCUUUUGCACAUCUUAUUUACACAUUUACGAGUUACUUCUUCCUGCCCUCCCUUCGUUACACAUUUCCCCCCCCCCCCCCCCAAGCUCGCACAUAACCAACGAGAUAAUACAAUUUCUCAUUAUCAGCGAUUAAACGCUCAUUUCCUUCUUCCUCUUGUUAAUCCUCUUGCUGUUCGUUGUUAUUUGUCACAAUCCACUUCUCCAGAUGCAUCGUCCAUCCAUGCUCGCAGGGCAAUUUAUACAAAGGAAAACAAACAGAUACGAUAAGCUAUAACUACAUAAGAGAUAAUUAAAAUUAUCCUUCGCGUUGUAUUUACCACCAUUUGCGAUCAACGUACAUUUGCUCUAAAUUUUCAGAUGCACAAAAUAUCUCACACAGCUCACAUUAACGAAAAACUCUGCAACCGUGGAACAUGCGCUCCUCAGACUGCCGAGACACCGUCAUGAACUACGUAGAGUUCGCAUCGAUGUCCAAUAAACUAUUCUAAUAUUUUCGAAUAAAUUUAAUAUAUUAUAUAUAAAAUACUAUAUAAUAUAUAUACUAUAUACUUCACUAUAUAAUAUAUACUAUAUACAUUAGGUGGUAAUGACAAAAUCCGCAAUCACUUAGUUGCCAACCCAGUAUUACGUUACAUAGCAUUACGCUGUAUAGUAUUACGUUAUAUCGUAUUACGUUAUGUAGUAUUACGGUAUACUAUAUUACGUUAUAAUGUAUUACGUCAGAUAGAAUUACGUUAUAUAGUAUUAUGCUAUAUAUUACGUUAUAACGUAUUACGUUAUGUAGUAUUACGCUAUAUAGUAUUACGUUAUAUCGUAUUACGUUUUCUAGUAUUACGGUAUUACGUUAUAAUGUAUUACGUUAUAUAGAAUUACGUUAUAUUAUAUUACGUUAUAUAGUAUUACGGCAUAUUAUGUUACGUUAUACUGUAUUACGUUAUAUACAAUUACAUGAUAUAAUAUUACGGUAUAUUAUAUUACGUUAUAGAGCAUUACGUUAUAUUGUAUUACGUUAUACUGUAUUAUGCUAUAUUAUAUUACGUUAUAAUGUAUUACGUUAAUGAGUUAUUUUAUAUAGUAUUACGUUAUAACAUAUUAGGUUAUAAUGUAUUGGGUAGACAACUAAGUGAUAGCGGAUUUUUCAUUAAGUGGUAAUGACAAAAACCCCCAUCACUUAGUUGCCAACACAAUAUUACGUUAAAUAGUAAUACGUUAUGAUAUAUUAAGUUUUAUAGUAUUACGCUGUUUAGAAUUACGUUAUAUUAUACUACGUUAUACUGUUACGUUACGGUAUUUGGUAUUACGUUAUAUUAUAUUACGUUAUAUUGUAUUACCUUAUAUUAUAUCACGUUAUAAUGUAUUACGUUAUAUAGUAUUACGAAUUAUUCAAAUCAUUUUAAGAUAAGAGAACAUAAAUUAGAUCUUAAAUGUAUGUAAUUUGUAAAAACUGUAUUAUAAAUAUUCAUAUCAUUUUAUAGCUUAAAAUUAUUAAAUUAUAUACAUGCUUACAUUAUGUAGACUUAUGUUAUAUAAGCACCUAUAUAUAUAUAUAUAUCGCAAUAAUCAUAAGAUCAUAAAUUAAAAUGUGUUUCAAUAAUGUAAUAACUUGCAUAGAUUUUUUUUCAUUAACAAAAACAUAGUUUACUAUGAUAUUUAUAAUAUACGUAUGUGUUUUUAAAUUAAUUUAUAUACUAUUAUUAUAGAAUAUUCCUUAAAUUAGUAUUAAAAUGUUGUAUAACUUCUUAAAUAUUAUAUAAGUUUUUACUUACAGCUUAACAAUUAAUAGAAUUAUCUAAUUAAUUAAUAGAAUUAAUAGAAUAAUUUAAUGUACAUUUCAAAAACAACAAUUGCAUAUUAAAUUGUUCACAAAAUCAUAUGUAGAAUUGAAGAAAAUUAUGGUAACAAUAAUCGUAUACUGCAUAAUAUUAAUAUUUAAAGAUUCAUGGUUCUAAAAUCUCAUUAUAAAUUCUUUUUUUUAAUAGUAUCUACUAUCUUGGAAGAGAAGUCUAAAUAGUUUAAUUAUAUUCAAAGUGACUAGAAAUGUUGCUAUUUUUUUUUCUUUUUUGGGGGGCUAUUAAUAGAUAUUUCUUAUUUUGGCAAGAAUGAUGUAUUGUAAAUUUGGGAAAUCAUGAAAAAGUUUUUAAAAAUUUAUAAUACUUAUUUUUAAAUAAUACUUUCUAAAAUUAUUUACCUGUAUAUUAAGCAAUGAAACAUAUGUAUGUAUGUAUGUAUGUAUGUAUGUA